AGAGUUUGAUUAUGGCUCAGGAUGAACGCUGGCGGCGUGCUUAACACAUGCAAGUCGAACGGAGCUUAGAAGGAAGCUUGCUUUCAUUUAAGCUUAGUGGCGGACGGGUGAGUAACGCGUGAGUAACCUGCCCUUGAGAGGGGAAUAACAUCGAGAAAUCGGUGCUAAUACCGCAUAAUGUCGGAGUACCGCAUGACAUUCCGACCAAAGAUUUUUAUCGCUCAAGGAUGGACUCGCGUCCGAUUAGCUGGUUGGUGAGGUAACGGCCCACCAAGGCUUCGAUCGGUAGCCGAACUGAGAGGUUGAUCGGCCACAUUGGGACUGAGACACGGCCCAGACUCCUACGGGAGGCAGCAGUGGGGAAUAUUGGGCAAUGGGCGCAAGCCCUGACCCAGCAACGCCGCGUGAAGGAUGAAGGUCUUCGGAUUGUAAACUUCUUUGAUUGGGGAAGAAUAAAUGACCUACCCAAAGAACAAGCCACGGCUAACUACGUGCCAGCCGCCGC
RNAcentral lists this ribosomal RNA (505 nucleotides) under uncultured bacterium. RNAcentral's name for it is "bacterial SSU rRNA". It matches the Rfam family "Bacterial small subunit ribosomal RNA", at positions 8 to 518 of the family's 1533-position model. The record is from RNAcentral.